RNAcentral lists this transfer RNA (78 nucleotides) under Syntrophales bacterium. RNAcentral describes it as "tRNA-Arg". It matches the Rfam family "tRNA". From Rfam's summary of the family: Transfer RNA (tRNA) molecules are approximately 80 nucleotides in length. The record is from RNAcentral. Lineage: Bacteria; Pseudomonadati; Thermodesulfobacteriota; Syntrophia; Syntrophales.
GCGCCCGUAGCUCAGUCCGGAUAGAGCACUUGACUACGGAUCAAGGGGCCGGGGGUUCAAAUCCUCCCGGGCGCGCCA